Ostrea edulis (European flat oyster) is the source of this 5027-nucleotide long non-coding RNA. RefSeq lists it as uncharacterized. The record is from RefSeq and is a predicted model, not a curated record. Lineage: Eukaryota; Metazoa; Mollusca; Bivalvia; Ostreida; Ostreidae. The transcript is spliced from 2 exons.
AUGGAAAAAUAAUACAUAAAAGUAUAUUUUUAAUAUAUUAUUAAUACAGUCAUUUUUGUACUUUUUUGAAAUAAUACAAAAAAAAUAUAUUAUUUUUGUAUCACAAAAAAAAUGGGUAACUCAUUUUUAUAUUAAAUUCUGACUUUGAUUUUUUAAAGGGUAUUAUUUUUGUAUCAUUUUGGACUUAGAUUAUUUUCAAUAUAUUAUUUUUGUAUUUAUAGGGACUUAGUUUUUUUUCUAGCAUAUUAUUUUUGUAUCAAAAUUAAACUUAGUCAUUUUCACUGUAUUAAAAUUGUAUUUUUUUAAAAACUUAGUCAUUUUUAAUCCAAAUCUUUGAAUUUAUAUGUAUUAAUUUUGUAUUAUAAUUGGACUUAAAAAAUUUCAGUGAUUUUUCACUGUAUUAUAAUUGUAUUUUUUUUUAACUUAGUCAUUUUUAAUCCAAAUCUUUGAUUUUAUAUGUAUUAAUUUUGUAUUAUAAUUGGACUUAAAAAAAAUUCCCAGUGAUUUUCAUUGUAUAAAAAUUGACUAAUUUUUAAAUUGAAAUAUAAAACUUAUAACUUGUGGAAAACAUGAUGCAAGAUUUAGCUUCUCAACUUCACAGUAAAGAUUUCAAACUUUUAAGUUUAGACAACUUUAUCAGUUGCAUGCAUAAUGAAAUAAUAAGGAAGUAUACUUCUAAAUAACACUGGAGACAUUAUUUAUUGCAUGAUAUUUCCAGGACAGUCUGUAAAAUACAGUAUAGUUUCUUUUGACUUCAUCUAGGUUUCCCAUUCUAAUAAUUGUCAUGCAGUCUAAUUCUACUGAUAACUCUUAAAUAAGCUUUUCAAUAAGAUACAAUGUACCAUUGUACCUUAUUAAUACUAUCUUCUCAUCAAAAUAACACAAUAAAAAUUGUAAUCUCUGAACUCAACAAAUUAUUUCUCCACUUUGUUUGGGUUUACUGCAAGUGGCAGUUGCUAUUGCACACACAGAAAAAUAAAUAAAGUCCUACACAUAAAUGGCUAUCAACUGUCCAGAGCUUGGUCUCAAAGAAAUAAUGUCACUGAAAAAUAUGUUGUGCAGAAUAUGAGCAUUUACACAUGUACUUCACAUUAUCUCCAUUACUUCACUAAAGCAUAGAAUGAUGGACCACAACAGUUCUCAUUACACUAUGAUGAAUGAACAAUGUUUCAAGUUUCACAAAGCACAUCUCGUCUAAAAUCAUGUCCACUAAAAUGAACCACACUACUGUCUCGCCUGAAAGUGGCUCUGCACUCCACAAAUUUUAAGGACAUUUGGUUGAUGAGCAUAGUUCGUUUGAAAAACCAUCACUGAAUCCACAAUAGGCAGAAUAUGGUAAGCACCUAUUACAGAUACUUUAUCAUUUUACACUGUCUUGUUGACUUAUGUUUCUUCUCCAUCUGACAUUCCCUUGAAAAAUUCUUGCUCGCAACUUCCAUAAUUUAAAGUUUGUGUCAUCUUCUGGAGGAAUUGAUUGGCAUAAGACAUGUCAGAUACCUGAAAAUGAAACACAAGAAAUCAACUGAAAUUGAACAUUUUCUCUGCAAUUUUAAUUUUCAAAAAAAAAAUUUCAUUUUCAAAAAUAAAUGAGGGCAUGAACUUUACUUGUUACUGUUUUAUACCAGCAUGCUUUACGAAGCGUGUUAGCACUUCAACAAAAGUAUGCUGAUGUGCAGCAUUGUUGUUCAUACAAUUCAUUCUAAAGAUGUCCGACACUUUGAUCUACAGGUUCACAGAGUUAAUUUUGUUUUUUUAAAUUCAACCGCAGGGGCAUAUAUAUAUAUAUAUCUUCAAUGUCCUCUAAUGAAAGAAUUUUUUUUUAAAACUGUAACACAGGCACCUGAAAUUUUAUCCUUAAGUUACAAAUAAUGCCAUAGAUAGAAAAAACAUAUAUCACACCCCUCCCUAUAAAUGAAUACAUGCAACUUACUGUUAAAAUUUUAGGUGUCUGUGAUUGUAACAUGCUUAUUAUUAUUUUUUGUGGACAUACUCUAUCAACAGUUACUUGGGUUUAUUAAAGGUCAUAAAUUGAAUAUUUCAUGUUAAAGAAUUGAAUUACGUUUACCGUCAUUACUUUCUGCAAUGCUGCAUCCUGGUAUUAUUCAAUCAACAUCAUUGUCGUCUUCAAAGUCAGUCUGCUUCCUCAAACUUCAAAGUUAGAUAGGCUAUGCUAUAUCUCCCGGAUUUUUAGGAUUAUCUGACAAGGAAUAGUCGGCAGUUGGGAAAACCUAUGAUAGAAUUGGUAACAUGAAAACAAACACAACUAAAAUUUAUGAACUUAAACAACGAUAUAUUAUUUCACAUUGAUCAUCAUCGGGCAACUAUCAGGUGCGAUUUUACCACAAGUCACUUUGAAAAAUAAAUAUCUAUUUCUCAAAUACGCAAUUAUAGGAUUUAUCAAAUAAUAAUAUUAAAGAAAACGAAUAAGAAAAAUGCAUACCGAUUGUGAAAACAACGUGCAAGUUCAUCGGCACGGGCGCGCCAUUACCACUCGACCUCGUGGCUUUUCAAGUUUGGUAGGACUGCUUCUUCCAGUGUUAUACACGUCGCAUACCCCAUAAGAAUACUCUAGGAGCCUUUAACAAGUUGUCCACAAAAUAGAUUGUAUACUCUCCACGUGUUUCUCCCAUUGUUUUGCUUUCCUUUCCUCACAAUGUUCACAGAUCGACGAUUUCAAAAUAUGGAAGCGGAAGUGACUGUAGAUAGAGUUCGGGUGACUCCGUAAUCAAUUUUAAAUUAUUACAUUCUUAGUAUUUGUUUUAAAAAAACAGCUAUGAAUUAUGAAUUAGUUUCUAAUAGCAGAAAAUUUAAACAAACGAGAUAAUAACAGCAUAUUUACGAAAGAUAAAUACAAGACUAGAAUUUUCGGCCGUCUUCGUACUUUCACGCGAUUGGUCGAAGUUCCAAAAUCUGUAGCUCUCAAAUUUGAUUGGUUGAAUGUGUGACGCUGCCAUUUUCAAAGUGAUUAGACUGUCGCAAUAUUUCGGAGGUUAUUUUGCAUAAAUUGCUAAAUAUUCCGUGGUUGAGUGGAAUGAGGACCGGAGUCCAGAAUCACGGAAUAUAUAAGGAAGGUGACAUCCUGCAAGAACGGCAUGUCCAGACGUUUUGGGCCGGGUGUACGUAAAGUUCUUGUGAUCAUCACAACAUGAUUAUGCAGUGGUCAAGGCUGACGACAAGUGGUGUGACUUGAAGAUAGCCCUUAGGAACAAAGUUAGUGCACUUUGCAACGCAGAAGAAACGGCAGAAGCAGAGGGAGGAUGAGUCUCAAGACUGAUGUGUUAUGAAGAUCAUGGACAGACUAGAUAUGAAUACCAUAUAAGGUCACAGACAGACUAGAUAUGUAUACCAUAUAAGAUCAUGGGCAGACUAGAUAUGUACAUACCAUAUCAUCAGCUCACUGACAGACUAGAUAUGUAUGUACCAUAUAACAUCAUGGACAGGCUAGAUAUGUAUAAAAUACUGAUUAAACAUCUAGCAAUUUAUUGAAUCUUGUACAAUGAAAAUGACAACAAUUUGUUAUUAUUUAUUAUAUUUAUGAUAAUAUAGCCCAAAGUAUUUAAUAGUCGCUUUUUAAAUCUCUACAAUAGUAGCCAAUGCGACAUGGGAUAUUAUGUUUACUGUAACAAUGGUUUUAACUUUUAAUAGUAGCUGAAUUAGUAGCCAAUGCAUGUCUUUUUAUGCCCCGAGAUCGGGGGGGGGGGGGGGGGGGGGGGGGGGGGGAGCAUAUUGGCAUAUUGUUUUUGUCCUGUCUGUCAUUCUGUCUGAAACUUUAACCUUGCUAAUAACUUUUGAACUGUAAGUGAUAGAGCUUUGAUAUUUCACAUGAGUAUUCCUUGUGACAAGACCUUUCCGUGAGUACCAACAUUUUUGACCCUGUAACCUUGACCUUUGAGUUUGACCUACUUUUUGAAAACUUUAACUUUGCUUAUAACUUUUUAACAGUAAGUGGUAGAGCUUUAAUAUUUCACAUGAACAUUCCUUGUGACAAGACCUUUCCGUGAGUACCAACACUUUUGACCCUUUGACCUUGGAGUUUGACCUACUUUUUGAAAACUUUAACCUUGUUAAUAACUUUUGAACUGUACGUGAUAGAGCUUUGAUAUUUCACAUGAGUAUUCCUUGUGACAAGACCUUUUCGUUGGUACUAAACCUUUUGACCUUGACAUUUGACCUACUUUUAGUUUUAUUUUUACAUUGGUCAUAACUUCUAAAUGGUAAAUAUUAGAGCUUUAAUAUUGUACAUGAGCAUUUCUUGUGACAAGAUCUUUCUACUGGUACCAAGAUAUUUGUCCUUGUGACCUUGGCCAUCUCUGGGAUUGGCCAUUAUCGGGGACAUUUGUGUUUCACAAACACAUCUUGUUUCCCCUUGCUUUUGAUUGAUUUUGCAUAACUAAGUUGAUUUGACUGAAGGUUUUAUUCAUAUAUUUUUAAAGAUGUCAGAUUUCUUUCUUAAAAUGUGAUUGAAAGCUGUUUUCAAAAACUAUUAAAACAUGUUUUUUACAAUUCUUUUUACUUUUCUAGGCACUGCAUUGUAUUAUUUUUGGCACAUUAAUAUACUUUUUGUGUAUCAUUCUUGUACUUUUUUGAAAUACAAAAUGUAUUUUUUUUGUAUUUUUUUAAAUAUGUAUUGUUUUUAUACUUUUUUUUUUGGUAAUGUAUUAUUUCUAUUCCCCAUCUUUGAAUACUUAGAUGUUGAUACAAAUUUAAUACAAUUCAUAUUUUUUUCCUAUUUUAAUUUUUCAAGGUGAACCAAAUAAUACAAAAAUAAUAUGUUGAUACAAAAUUAAUACAAAUCAUAUUUUUUUUCCUAUUUUUUUCAAGGUGAACCAAAUGAUACAAAAUUAAUAUGUUGAUACAAAAUUAAUACACUUUGUAUUUUUUUUGUACUUUUUUAAUCCUACUCCAAAAUGUAUUAUUUUUGUACUUUAAAUUGGGAUUUAAUACAUAAAUAAUACAAGAGUAUAGAAAUAAUACAUCAAAUGUAUCAUUUUUGUAUUUUUACUAAGAAAUAAAGUAUAUUAAAAAUA